AUUGCUUCCAUGAUGCAGAUUGGCAACUUAAAUAUUAAAUCAAAGCUGCAAGUCCCAUAUUGAAUAACUACUUCAAAUUUACUCCUGGCUGGUUGUGUUUUCUGAUUCUAGGGAAGCUCAAUGGGCUAAAUGAAAGUGUGGACUGCUGCAUUCUGGAGCUGGUCUGUAGAACACAAAGGCCCUCACACAGAUGCAGAUCUCUUGAAGAAGCAGGGAGAGUUCUCAGGGAUUGUGAAACUGUGGAUAUAAGACAGCUGAGGUGGAAAGUCAUGGCAGCUAGCGAAAGAGACCAAAAAGGCAGAUUCCAAGAGCUGAGCAGUGCGAUUAGGAAGACGUGCCUUUUGGGGGCUGAUGGAAAUCGGAUGUGUUGAGACUGCUAUCUGAAGGGAAUUUGGGCCUACCACCUGUAUGAGUAAAGGAACUGAAUCUCUACCUGGGAAAUACAAAAGGCUGUAUGGCUCGGUAGCUGAGUUUAAUGCUGUAUAUGGUGUGGGAGGAGUGCUAGUAGUUUUGUUUCUGUUGUAUCAAAAUUAUUUUUUCUGUUUGAUGUAUCAUUUGACUGUCAAUUAAUGUUUGAAUUAUGUUAAUUUAAGUUUGAUUACUACAGUAUAAGUUUUAAGAAGUAAAAUCUAGUCCACUUGUUUUUUUUUUCCUUUGGCAUGCUGAAAAUUCCUUUCUUUUUAAGUUUUCAGCCUCCUCUGGGAUAGUAAAUGCGGCACCUUAUAAAACGUCUUUUGGGAAAUCCAAAUACAUUACAGGACUGGAAUAAAUUUGUGAAAUACUGUUUCCCCUUCAUAAAACCACGUUGACUCUGCUUGAUUGUAUUUCCAUUUUCUAACUGCCCUGUUACUACUACCUUAAUAAUGGAUUCCAGCAUUUUCCCAAUGGCCUAUAGUUUCCUUUCUGGAAUAGAAACAUUACAUUUGAGGUUUUCCAAUUUGGUGGGACCUUUCCAGAAUCUAAGGAAUUUUAGAAGAUUACAACCAAUGCAUCCACUUUCUCUCCAGCUACUCCAAGGCCAUGGGAUGUAGACAAUGAAGUCCAGGGGACUUAUCAGUCCUUAGUCCCAUUCGUUUGCCUAGUAUAUUUUCUCUAGUGAUAAUGAUUGUUUUAAGUUCCUCCCUUUUGUUCCCUGCUUUUGUACUAUUCUUAGUAUAAGACAUUAAAAGCAUCCUGUGAAAAUA
This is a long non-coding RNA of Carcharodon carcharias (great white shark), 1184 nucleotides long. RefSeq lists it as uncharacterized. Lineage: Eukaryota; Metazoa; Chordata; Chondrichthyes; Lamniformes; Lamnidae. The record is from RefSeq and is a predicted model, not a curated record. The transcript is spliced from 2 exons.